RNAcentral lists this long non-coding RNA (687 nucleotides) under Ananas comosus (pineapple). RNAcentral's name for it is "long non-coding RNA (ACOM_LNC020480)". The record is from RNAcentral. Lineage: Eukaryota; Viridiplantae; Streptophyta; Magnoliopsida; Poales; Bromeliaceae.
GAUGAAUGAAUGAAUGAUGAUGAUGAUUGUUGGAAAUUAUAGGGCAGCGGAAACUUACAAACCGGAUAGCCAACGUAUCCGAGAACCCAAAUUUGGAUCGGUUCGCCUGUUUUACAAGCCUUCUUAGAUAGUCCUUGCCUCGAUACUUCUGGAUCUCCCACGUUUUUCGCUUUCUCCUUCGCGUACUUGCCUCGAUACUUCUGGAUCUCCCACGUUUUUCGCUUUUUCCUUCGCGUACGCCUUAUGCCACGGAUCGGAUGCGGAUCUGAUGCGACGGAUGCCGAUCGAAGAGGGCUACCAGAGUCCUCUUCUAUGUCCACACUCCAAAAUUCCGGAAACGUAGGUGGAAAUCCCAGAGGAAGAAGAGAGAGAAUAAGAAAGAUAUUUCGUGGGUUCUUACGAAUUUUGAUCGUAUUCUAUCGUCCUUCAUGAGAGAAAACAAGGGGACGUAUUUAUAGAAUAACAAACCCCUAAAUAUCCUGAAUCUCAUAAGGAUUAGAAAAUCUAUUAACAUGUAAUAGAUAUGCGCUAAUAGAUACGUUUCUUAACUGAUAAGAAAUAUAUAAUUUAUUUUUAUUCUAAAUCCAUUAGGAUAAAUCACAAUCCACAUCUUAAGUAGAUCGGGUUAAAUUAAAAUCCGCCAAUGUGGACAUACUGUAUGGCUACAAUGAUGAUGAUUCCUUUCUU